Molecule: ribosomal RNA, 81 nt
Filed under: Escherichia coli
Lineage: Bacteria; Pseudomonadati; Pseudomonadota; Gammaproteobacteria; Enterobacterales; Enterobacteriaceae
Description: partial 16S ribosomal RNA
Rfam family: Bacterial small subunit ribosomal RNA (bases 1-68)
Source: RNAcentral
GAUUCAUGACUGGGGUGAAGUCGUAACAAGGUAACCGUAGGGGAACCUGCGGUUGGAUCACCUCCUUACCUUAAAGAAGCG